GUUUUCCUUUUAAUCUUUAUAUUGAGUCUACACUCUUUUUGGCUGUGAGGUUAAAAAAGGGGCACACAUGUGAGAGUAAAGCUAAAGUGUUAAAAAUGAAAAAAUAGUGAAAGAAUGUGAGUAAGGGAAUGGGAAGUAUUUGCACCACUGAGCAUACCCCCAAUCAUAUUCUGACAUUGUAAAACAAAAGAAAAUAAUUUCGCCCUGAGUUGGUAAUAACUGUGAAGGGUUGAGACAAAGCUAAG
Molecule: long non-coding RNA, 245 nt
Filed under: Lotus japonicus
Lineage: Eukaryota; Viridiplantae; Streptophyta; Magnoliopsida; Fabales; Fabaceae
Description: long non-coding RNA (LJAP_LNC000309)
Source: RNAcentral